This 437-nucleotide ribosomal RNA is filed under the name uncultured bacterium. RNAcentral's name for it is "partial 16S ribosomal RNA". It matches the Rfam family "Bacterial small subunit ribosomal RNA", at positions 354 to 796 of the family's 1533-position model. The record is from RNAcentral.
GUGGGGAAUUUUGGACAAUGGACGAAAGUCUGAUCCAGCGACGCCGCGUGAAGGACGAAGGUUUUCGGAUUGUAAACUUCUUUUGCAGGGGAAAAAUACGCGCAAGCGUUUGAUUGUACUCUGUGAAUAAGCCACGGCUAACUACGUGCCAGCAGCCGCGGUAAUACGUAGGUGGCGAGCGUUACUCGGAAUUACUAGGCGUAAAGCGCGUGUAGGCGGGAGCUUAAGUCUGAUGUGAAAUCUCGUGGCUUAACUACGAGCGGCCGGUAGAUACUGGGCUUCUUGAAUUCGGUAGAGGUAACUGGAAUUCCAAGUGUAGCGGUGAAAUGCGUAGAUAUUUGGAAGAACGCCAAAGGCGAAAGCAGGUUACUGGGCCGCAAUUGACGCUGAGACGCGAAAGCUAGGGGAGCAAACAGGAUUAGAAACCCGGGUAGUCC